UUCAAAGAGAGGAGGUAUCUUACGGGGAUCAUAGUUAAACGGAUUUGCGGUACUGGAAUAAAGAGGGGGUUAUCUGACGUUUAAUCUACAACUGUUAAACGUCAGAAGUUUGAUCGUCAUUAGUUAUAACUCAAGUAAUGAAAAAUAUACAUAUUUUUCCAAACCUCUUGUUUUCAGCAAAAAAGAAAUUAUGGAUGUAUGCAACGGGAGGAGGCGAAUGAUAAGAACCCCGAGAAGUCUGCGGGCUUACAAAAGGCUGAUUGAAGCCCAAAACUCCAAUGCAAACAUAAAGACCAAACCCGAGGUGAAACGAGAGAUGGGCAAAGUAUUGAGAGGGCUGACGGUAGGGAACAACAAAAACAGCAAGGACAUUGAUGUCCCUAUGGAGGAGGACUGUUUCUACAUGAACUUUUGCAAGAACGAGAGCCUGGCUCAUGCUAUGGUUAUGGCACCACGCUACAGUCUGUUGCGCGAGGUAGGAAGGGGCAGUUAUGGGAUAGUGUUCGAGGCAAUUGCUCGGAGGACUGGGGCAAGGGUUGCAGUUAAAAAACUUCAGUGCAAUGCUCCCGAAAAUGUUGAACUCGCUCUAGCCGAAUUCUGGGCCUUGGCAAGCUUGGAGAAGAAGCACGAGAAUGUGGUGCAGCUCGAGGAAUGUGUGCUACAAAGGAAUGGCAUGGCCCAAAAAAUGAGCCAUGGGAAUAAAAGGUCAAAGCAAUACCUGCGAUUGGUGGAAACUUCACUAAAAGGUGAACGGAUUCUGGGCUGCCCAGAGGAGCCAUGCUACCUGUGGUUCGUCAUGGAGUUCUGUGAGGGCGGGGACCUCAACCAGUACAUCCUGUCACGGCGGCCGGACCCGCGCACUAACAAGAGCUUCAUGCGACAGCUGAGCAGUGCCGUUGCCUUUCUGCACAAUAACAACAUUGUCCACCGUGACCUCAAACCCGACAAUAUCCUCAUCUCCCAGAAGUCGGGCUCACCUGUGCUCAAAGUGGCCGACUUUGGGCUUAGCAAGGUCUGCGCAGGCUUGGGCGCCUGUGGCAAAGAUGGCGACGAGUGCCCCACAGCUGGUGGUGGGGGCAGUGGCGGCAACGGAACCGUGAACGUGAACAAGUUCUGGCUGUCGUCGGCAUGUGGCUCAGACUUCUUUAUGGCUCCCGAGGUGUGGGAGGGUCACUACACGGCGAAGGCAGACAUAUUUGCGCUGGGCAUCAUCAUCUGGGCCAUGCUGGAGAGGAUCACUUUCAUCGAUGCUGAGUCCAGGCGCGAGCUGCUGGGCACCUACAUACGGCAGGGCAGCGAGAUUGUGCCGGUGGGCGAGGCACUGCUGGAGAACCCCAAGAUGGUGCUCCACAUCCCGCAGAAGACUCGCAGCACCAUGUCGGAGGGCGUAAAGAGGCUGCUGCAGGACAUGCUGGCGGUCAACCCUCAGGACCGGCCCGACGCCUCCCAGCUGAAGGUGCGGAUGGAUCAGGUCACGUGUGCCGCGUGACACGGCUCUCCACUCAUUCCCAUUUUCAAGACCUGGCAGGUCAGAGAAAGGAUUUCUUUUUUCUACUGAUUUGUUUACCAACUGAAUGUGGGAUCCCGUGUCUCUGCAGAGGUGAAAAUAGGGACUCUGAGGCAGUGCAUCUAUGAACUUUUAACCCUCCACAAUUGCUCCCAAAUGUUAUCAAACUAAAACUUGUGGGUUUGCUGUCAGCACAUUCAAAAACAGGACAACCUAUGCAAUCAAAACAUAUUGAAAAGUCUGGUCUUUUCCCCUUGCACCUUCAAUUGAAAUGUUGGAAUGUUGUUACAAAAAAGGCAAAAUUCAUUUACCAACAGGCAGGGCCAAAACAAAUAUUUCCUCUGCAAACCUUCUUUGGGAUGGGCUUUAAGAGUAAUGUUUUAUAUAUAACUGAUGUGGUGGUCUUUAAAAUAGCUUUUCUCAAUUUAUAAAUAUUUGUAUUGGUCCAAUAUAAUUCUUCAUUCGCAGGUCUCACUUGUGUUGGGUUGUUGGACAGGACCACAUAGGCUAGUAUGAAUUUAUACUGAUUGCUGUAGGCUGGAGAGGCUAAGUUGUUGCACUUUGUACCCUUUAUAGCAGAGUUUUUAAAAAGUAUCCCUGAAACGCACAAUGGUCAUGAUAAUGAAGUAAAGGAAGGAACUUCAUCUGGAUACUGUGAAUGGAAAAUGUGAAUGAAAUUCAGUACAACUUUAUACAAUUUAGAAAUACGUAUUUUGGGAAGUACACAGCCGCCAGUUUCACCCCUCAUUAGUGAGGACGCACUGCAUCAGCGUCAUCAACAACUGUUCCUCUCCUUGGACACACUCGUGCCUUAUUAUACCACUGUCUAAUAGUGGCAUAACCACAUUUAUUCUCAAAUAAUGUCACUUUUUUUACAUGCAGUAUAUUUGUCCCUGUAUCAUGUGAUAAUAUGGACAAUAUGUUGUGUCUUUGAAGCCAAAUGUGAGAGAAAAUGGUUUUAGGGAAAAUACCUUUCGCUCUGACCAUAACGUAACAGAAUUUUGGAAAAUGGAUUUCAAAGUUGCUCAACAUUACAUUAUUUCACAUAUUCCAAAACGUUUUUUGUUUUAAAGAAAAUGUUGACGGAUUAGCCAGGAAACACAAACAUACUGCAUAAGUCUACACACCCCAUAUGCAGUCUUCAAAAUGGUCUGCCUUAAAGUCAAAUAAUUUAUUAAAUUAUAUUUGAGUUUUUCUAGCGUUUUACCCCCUUUUCUCCCAAUUGUCAUCAUGACCAACUGUAUCUACGGUCCGUCUUGUUGCAACAACUCCCAAUGGAUUAGGCCAGGCCUUUUCUCCCACCCUGGAGUCACUGGUGUCCGAUGUGAUCAGGAAAUGUGUGAUGCCUUCCCGCUCCCCCGGUGAUGCUGGUCAAUUUGUAUCACCCAUGGGGCUUACCAGCAGUUGUUCUUAACCCUCUCCUAGGGACCCCCCAGCCAUCUCACAGUUUAGUUCUUGCCCUGAACUAGCUCACCUGAUUCAACAGGUAAGGGCUUGUUAAUUAGAUAAAAAGUUGAUUCAGGUGUGCUAGCUAUGGGAUACAUCUAAUAGAUGGAAUGGCUGGGGGGUCCCCGGGACAGGGUUAGGAACCACUGAGCUAGUGCAUGGGAACACUGUUUCUGGUAUUUUAAAGAGUGCCUUAGACCUCUUCACCACCUGGGAAGCCUUGUACUAAUUUCUGUGCAGAUCUUUCCACAGUGAGAAAAUUUGAAGGACCGCAAAAUGCGAAGGGGUAUGUAGACUUUCAGUAGGGACUGUGAUUGUAUAUCAUGACACAGUAGUAAACUAUUGUUUUCUGACAUGAUGUUGACAGUGUCAUGUUUAUGGCUACUCUGAAUUUAUGGUUUCAAUGAAAGGUUUGUGUAUGAAGAAUCAGGACCCUCAAGAAAUGAACUGUGUUAUGCAAUUAAUUUCAAGCAUAAAUGUUCUGUACAUCAUGUAUGCAUCUACAAGUGUAACACAUUUAGGGAAUUAAGGAAAAAGAGUGCUUUGAAAUUCCUUUUUAAACUUAAAAGUAUACAUAUUUGUUUACUUUGAAUAUUGUUAAAAUCUGAUUUUGUUCUUGGUGUCAUGCAAGGGUUGUUUUUCAUCCAUUUUAUCAGAUCUUUGAUGAAUGUGGGAAAACUGUUGAACCUCAUUGUAGGAUGACCUUGGCAUUAUUUUCUCCCAAAUAACAGCACUACAAGGUUAGAAACAUGUUUCUGACAUUGUAAUAGAAAGUAGUGAUUACUGCUUGGUAAUACAUUCCUUGCUAACCUUUGAGACAGUUUUAGUCAUGUCAUCUGACCCAGUAAAGAGGUGUGUAGGAAUUACAGUUGAAACAAGAGGAUACUACCUGACCACAGAUGUAUACUCAAGUUACAAUACCUAUUUAAGAUGGUUCCGGAAUGUAGAUUAUUUGGCAAACAGCAAUGAACAGUUGAACCCCAGCUAAUUUUGGCAUAUUGUCCACUACAAAAGCUUUAGUCUGAAGUGAGCACAGUAGUUGUUGCUUGUUUCAUCACCAUGUUUCCAAGAUUAAACUGGGACUGCAUCUUGUUAAGGCCAUCUCAUCCUGUUUUCAUGUUUUUUCUUAGAGCUCCUGACAAACACUGUUUCAUAGUUUAGUCCUACCUCAGUCUCAUCAUGUCUGUUUUCUUUCACUAGUUUUACAUACAAUUGCUUCUUAACUGGUUUCAGUGUAGCAUUUUAGGGCUUAUUUUCUUUUACUUGUGAGGUUUAGAUCUGAGACAGAUUUCUUCCGCUGAACAUUGAUUGCCGUUUAACAUUUUGAAUUUACUUUCAAUCUUAGCUUCAGAUAGCACUUAAAUUCUAGAUUAAAGUUAAUUAGUUUUUUUUUUCGUUUUUUAUACAAAUCUCAAUCUCGCAUAAAUCUUUUUUUUUAUGUUAGACUUAUUGGAGUUUACUUUACUCCUCUUUACCUAAGGGACCUGUUACCUGGAAAAAGCUUUUUUAACGUCUCACCUCAAGUGUUAUUUAAGCGUUUCCUUUAACGUCAUGGCAGCAUGUGAUGUUGCAUGACCACUCUACUUUGUUUACAUUAUUUGAUGAGGGAACUGAAGCUCAGUUUAUUGUUCAUACUGUUGUCAUUGUUUUAAGGGGAUCACUAUUCUCAAACCUACAGUAAGAAUUCCUCAAAAAAAAACUUCCUCUAUUUAACUUUAUAUGUACACAUUGCACAAGAAACUACACCAUGUGUGUUUUUCUUUUCUCCCGUGCAACUACUUUUUAUUUCAGCACUUAUUUCAAAGUGUGUGUUUAGUAUGUCUUUAGAAUGUAAAAUAUCAAGCUGAAUGGAGCCAUUAGAUGUUUCAGGAGGCAUCAAGUUUUUCUUUUGGAUAAUGCUUUACAUCUUCUGUUUUUCUUGAAAUAAAUGAUAAAAAGUUUGCUUUUA
Molecule: RNA transcript, 4901 nt
Organism: Esox lucius (northern pike)
Lineage: Eukaryota; Metazoa; Chordata; Actinopteri; Esociformes; Esocidae
Gene: stk35
Gene name: serine/threonine kinase 35
Exons: 3
Source: RefSeq, a predicted model, not a curated record